UACGGAGGGUGCAAGCGUUGUCCGGAUUUAUUGGGUUUAAAGGGUGCGUAGGUGGCCCUAUAAGUCAGUGGUGAAAGCCUGUCGCUCAACGAUAGGACUGCCAUUGAUACUGUAGGGCUUGAGUAUUGAUGAGGUAGGCGGAAUUGAUAGUGUAGCGGUGAAAUGCAUAGAUAUUAUCAAGAACACCGAUUGCGUAGGCAGCUUACUAAGGAAUAACUGACACUGAGGCACGAAAGCGUGGGGAUCAAACAGG
Molecule: ribosomal RNA, 253 nt
Filed under: uncultured bacterium
Lineage: Bacteria
Description: partial 16S ribosomal RNA
Rfam family: Bacterial small subunit ribosomal RNA
Source: RNAcentral